RNAcentral lists this ribosomal RNA (374 nucleotides) under uncultured organism. RNAcentral describes it as "bacterial SSU rRNA". It matches the Rfam family "Bacterial small subunit ribosomal RNA", at positions 526 to 896 of the family's 1533-position model. The record is from RNAcentral.
CGUAGGGGGCGAGCGUUGUCCGGAUUUAUUGGGCGUAAAGCGCUCGUAGGCGGCUCAGUAAGUCAGGUGUGAAAACUCCAGGCUCAACCUGGAGACGCCACCUGAUACUGCUGUGGCUAGAGUCCGGUAGGGGAGCAUGGAAUUCCUGGUGUAGCGGUGAAAUGCGCAGAUAUCAGGAGGAACACCAGUGGCGAAGGCGGUGCUCUGGGCCGGAACUGACGCUGAUGAGCGAAAGCGUGGGGAGCAAACAGGAUUAGAUACCCUGGUAGUCCACGCCGUAAACGUUGGGUACUAGGUGUGGGGCCUUAUCAACGGGCUCUGUGCCGAAGCUAACGCAUUAAGUACCCCGCCUGGGGAGUACGGCCGCAAGGCUA